Molecule: small RNA, 1190 nt
Filed under: Arabidopsis thaliana (thale cress)
Lineage: Eukaryota; Viridiplantae; Streptophyta; Magnoliopsida; Brassicales; Brassicaceae
Description: ATSL210620
Source: RNAcentral
AUUAAUUAUAUUAUGUUAUAUGGGUCUAAAUAAAUUUUUUAAUGGGUCAAAUAUAAUUAAUAUGUAUUUAAAUAGGGAGGAGAAAUGAGGUAUAAACUUAAAUGAGGUUAAAUGAGUUUAGAGUAAAUGGGGUGGGUUUUAAAUGGGGUGGGUUAGCCUAUAUUAACAUCACAACUGUAACAAUUGAUAUAAUUGCAGAUAAAUAUAUUUUUAUUCAUAACUAUGGUAGUUUUCUUCCUUCGUGUAUGUUCCCAAAACCAAAUCCGCGAAGAACGAAACCAAUUCUCCAUUAUCUCUUCUUCAUUACUAAUUGCUUUUCAUUUACUCACAUUCUUCCCUACCUCAACUCAGUUUCUCAAGUAUUUCUGGGGAAGAUUGCCUUCAAAUUACGGAGCUUUCAAAGAAAAUGUCAAGAAUUUGAAGAUUAGGAAAACAAUCGCAAGGCUUGAUUAAUUGAAGAGUGUGUGAUGAAUUGAGGGAUGAUAAGCUCGUUGAUUUUCAAACUCUUCCCAUACGAUUUAUGUUUUAAGAGAAUGAAACAGGGCACUAUGUAUAUAAUAAUAUAUUCGUUUGGAAUAAUAAAUAAAAGUAUGGUGGCUCAAUUGGUAUUGAGUCGGCAGUUAUGUCUUUGGAGCCACAGAUUCGUGUAUCUGAUUUAAUGUUUCAUUUUUUUCUAACAUUUUCUUUGAAAACUAAACUACGUUGUCGGAUUUGUGCAUCCUAAUCAUCGUCGUGUUAAGGAACAUUAACAUCGUUUUGAGAUUUGUGGGUUAAGACCGACCGGAUUUCAUUUGUUCGUGUAUGAAAUUCAAAUUUAACUUGAGUUUAUGUAGUUUUAGGCACACAAUAAAAUUCUAUGUAUAAAUACGAUAAAACAACUAAGUUUGGGAUGAAAUUAUCCGUUUUCCCUCACCAUAUGUAUGCUUCAACUUGUUUUUAUUAACUCAAAAUUUAAUUCAAUAACGAAAUAUUAAUAUUAGUUUGAUAAGAUACUCUCUUAGAGCAUCUCCAUUGCACAAAUAAGGAGAGUGUCUUCCUACACUUAAAAUAUAAUAUGUCAAAAAAAAUAUUAUUUUAAUUUUUGGAUGUCUUUAAAAUAAAGACACAAUGUCUUAAAUGUCUAAGUAAAGACAUAUUUUAGAGGAUGUCUCCAAUUUAAAGAUCUUUCAUAUUUGAUUAUUAAUAUUUUG